Molecule: ribosomal RNA, 403 nt
Filed under: uncultured Glomeromycotina
Lineage: Eukaryota; Fungi; Glomeromycota
Description: SSU rRNA
Rfam family: Eukaryotic small subunit ribosomal RNA
Source: RNAcentral
AGCAGCCGCGGUAAUUCCAGCUCCAAUAGCGUAUAUUAAAGUUGUUGCAGUUAAAAGCUCGUAGUUGAAUUUCGGGAUCAAUAUGUUGGUCGUGCCUCGGUACGUACUAGCUUAUUGGUUUCUCCUUUCUGAAGAACCAUGAUGUCAUUUAUUUGGUGUCGUGGGGAAUCAGGACUGUUACUUUGAAAAAUUAGAGUGUUUAAAGCAGGCUCACGCUUGAAUACAUUAGCAUGGAAUAAUGAAAUAGGACGUUUGAUUCUAUUUUGUUGGUUUCUAGGAUCGACGUAAUGAUUAAUAGGGAUAGUUGGGGGCAUUAGUAUUCAAUUGUCAGAGGUGAAAUUCUUGGAUUUUAUUGAAGACUAACUACUGCGAAAGCAUUUGCCAAGGAUGUUUUCAUUAAUCA